This 229-nucleotide ribosomal RNA is filed under the name uncultured bacterium. Its description in RNAcentral is "partial 16S ribosomal RNA". It matches the Rfam family "Bacterial small subunit ribosomal RNA", at positions 568 to 796 of the family's 1533-position model. The record is from RNAcentral.
CAUGUAGGCGGCAUGACAAGUCUGGUGUGAAAUAUCUCGGCUCAACCGAGAAAACGCACUGGAAACUGUCAAGCUUGAGUAUCGGAGGGGAGGCUAGAAUUCCUGGUGUAGGGGUGAAAUCUGUAGAUAUCAGGAAGAAUACCGGUGGCGAAGGCGAGCUUCUGGCCAGAUACUGACGCUGAGAUGCGAAAGCGUGGGGAGCGAACAGGAUUAGAUACCCUGGUAGUCC